AACGCACCUUGCACUCCUUGGUAUUCCGAGGAGUACGCCUGUUCGAGUGUUAUGAAGCUCUCAAAACGCAAUUGGCUUAAAACCUGAUUGUUGUUUUGGAUUUGAACUUUGCCGUGUUAUAACGGCUGGUUUUAAAAGUAUUAGCUGGUACUAGAACGAAUUGGUUCUACUCAACGUGAUAAUUAUCUGAUCGUUGAGGACAUUCCUUUCACGAGGAAUGGCCAUAGUAAAUUCAAUGGACUGCUUCUAAUCUGGCUUUAAUUCUUUAUUGGAUUAACCACUUUUCAAAUCUGACCUCGAAUCAGGUGGGACUACCCGCUGAACUUAA
This 328-nucleotide unclassified non-coding RNA is filed under the name uncultured Minimedusa. Its description in RNAcentral is "sequence contains ITS2". The record is from RNAcentral. Lineage: Eukaryota; Fungi; Basidiomycota; Agaricomycetes; Cantharellales.